CAAUUUCAAUUUUUUUCCCCUUUUCCCCCGUCUUACCACCCAAACCCCCCAAAAAUUCCCAAAAUUUCCCAAAAUUCCCGAAUUUUCUCUCCCAGCUGCUUGGAGGGCGACUUCGCGGGUCCCCGGGACUUCCCCAACUGCUCGGUGGCCCUGAGUGACCUGAGUGACCACAGUGACCACCUGAGUGACCAGAGUGACCAGCGGAGUGACCACAGUGACCACAGUGACCAGAGUGACCACCUGAGUGACCAGAGUGACCACAGUGACCACCUGAGUGACCAACAGAGUGACCAGAGUGACCAGCGGAGUGACCAGAUUGACCACCUGAGUGACCAGAGUGACCAGCAGAGUGACCAGAGUGACCAGCAGAGUGACCACAGUGACCACCUGAGUGACCACAGUGACCACCUGAGUGACCACCUGAGUGACCAGAGUGACCACAGUGACCAGAGUGACCAGCGGAGUGACCACAGUGACCACAGUGACCACAGUGACCACCUGAGUGACCAGGAAGGUGGCCAGCAGAACGACCAGCACGGUGACCAGCAGAGUGACCACCAAAGUGACCACCAGUCUGACCAGCAGAGUGACCACUGGAGUGACCAUCAGAAGGACCAGCAGAGUGGCCAGCUGAGUGACCAUCAGAAUGACCACUGGGCUGACCAGCCGAGUGACCAGCUGGGUGACCAUCGGAGUGACCAUCAGGCUGAGGGUCAGGCUGACCAUCGGAGUGACCAUCAGAAUGACGGCCAGGCUGACAGUCAGGCUGACCCCCAAAGUGACCAGCCGAGUGACCAUCAGGCUGAGGGUCAGGCUGACCAGCUGAGUGACCAGAGUGACCAUCUGAGUGACCAUCAGAAUGACCAUCAGGCUGAGGGUCAGGCUGACCCCCAGAGUGACCAUGGGAGUGACCAUCAGAAUGACCAUCAGGCUGAGGGUCAGGCUGACCCCGCGGGUGACCAGAGUGACCAGCCGAGUGACCAUCGGAGUGACCAUCAGGCUGAGGGUCAGGCUGACCAUCGGAGUGACCAUCAGAAUGACCGUCAGGCUGAUGGUCAGGCUGACCCCCAGAGUGACCAGAGUGACCAUGGGAGUGACCAUCAGGCUGAGGGUCAGGCUGACCCCCAGAGUGACCAGAGUGACCAUGGGAGUGACCAUCGGGCUGAGGGUCAGGCUGACCCCCAGAGUGACCAUGGGAGUGACCAUCGGGCUGAGGGUCAGGCUGAGGGUCAGGCUGACCCCCAGAGUGACCAGAGUGACCAUCGGAGUGACCAUCGGGCUGAGGGUCAGGCUGACCCCCAGAGUGACCAGAGUGACCAGAGUGACCAUCGGGCUGAGGGUCAGGCUGAGGGUCAGGCUGACCCCCAGAGUGACCAGAGUGACCAGAGUGACCAGAGUGACCAGAGUGACCGCGGGCGCGGCCGGUGGUGGUACGGCGCGUGCCCCGACGUGGACGAGUGCGCGCUGGGGCUGGCGCGGUGCCACCCGCGGGCGCGCUGCCACAACAGCCCCGGCAGCUUCCAGUGCCGCUGCCAGCGCGGCUUCCGCGGCGACGGCGUGGCCAGCUGCGAGCCCACGUGAGGGACGGG
Molecule: long non-coding RNA, 1589 nt
Organism: Lonchura striata (white-rumped munia)
Lineage: Eukaryota; Metazoa; Chordata; Aves; Passeriformes; Estrildidae
Source: Ensembl